AUACGGAGGGUGCAAGCGUUAUCCGGAAUCAUUGGGUUUAAAGGGUCCGCAGGCGGAUUAAUAAGUCAGUGGUGAAAUCCUCUCGCUCAACGAGAGAACUGCCAUUGAAACUGUUAGUCUUGAAUGCGGUCGAAGUAGGCGGAAUGUGUCAUGUAGCGGUGAAAUGCAUAGAUAUGACACAGAACACCGAUAGCGAAGGCAGCUUACUAGACCUGGAUUGACGCUCAUGGACGAAAGCGUGGGGAGCGAACAGGAUUAGAAACCCUAGUAGUCC
This 274-nucleotide ribosomal RNA is filed under the name uncultured bacterium. Its description in RNAcentral is "partial 16S ribosomal RNA". It matches the Rfam family "Bacterial small subunit ribosomal RNA", at positions 523 to 796 of the family's 1533-position model. The record is from RNAcentral.